This 1958-nucleotide ribosomal RNA is filed under the name Salmonella enterica subsp. enterica serovar Bareilly. RNAcentral describes it as "partial 23S ribosomal RNA". It matches the Rfam family "Bacterial large subunit ribosomal RNA", at positions 161 to 2141 of the family's 2925-position model. The record is from RNAcentral. Lineage: Bacteria; Pseudomonadati; Pseudomonadota; Gammaproteobacteria; Enterobacterales; Enterobacteriaceae.
AAUCCAUAGGUUAAUGAGGCGAACCGGGGGAACUGAAACAUCUAAGUACCCCGAGGAAAAGAAAUCAACCGAGAUUCCCCCAGUAGCGGCGAGCGAACGGGGAGGAGCCCAGAGCCUGAAUCAGCAUGUGUGUUAGUGGAAGCGUCUGGAAAGGCGCGCGAUACAGGGUGACAGCCCCGUACACAAAAGCGCAUGUGCUGUGAGCUCGAUGAGUAGGGCGGGACACGUGGUAUCCUGUCUGAAUAUGGGGGGACCAUCCUCCAAGGCUAAAUACUCCUGACUGACCGAUAGUGAACCAGUACCGUGAGGGAAAGGCGAAAAGAACCCCGGCGAGGGGAGUGAAAAAGAACCUGAAACCGUGUACGUACAAGCAGUGGGAGCACAGGUUUACCUGUGUGACUGCGUACCUUUUGUAUAAUGGGUCAGCGACUUAUAUUCUGUAGCAAGGUUAACCGUAUAGGGGAGCCGUAGGGAAACCGAGUCUUAACCGGGCGUUAAGUUGCAGGGUAUAGACCCGAAACCCGGUGAUCUAGCCAUGGGCAGGUUGAAGGUUGGGUAACACUAACUGGAGGACCGAACCGACUAAUGUUGAAAAAUUAGCGGAUGACCUGUGGCUGGGGGUGAAAGGCCAAUCAAACCGGGAGAUAGCUGGUUCUCCCCGAAAGCUAUUUAGGUAGCGCCUCGUGAAUUCAUCUCCGGGGGUAGAGCACUGUUUCGGCUAGGGGGCCAUCCCGGCUUACCAACCCGAUGCAAACUGCGAAUACCGGAGAAUGUUAUCACGGGAGACACACGGCGGGUGCUAACGUCCGUCGUGAAGAGGGAAACAACCCAGACCGCCAGCUAAGGUCCCAAAGUCAUGGUUAAGUGGGAAACGAUGUGGGAAGGCCCAGACAGCCAGGAUGUUGGCUUAGAAGCAGCCAUCAUUUAAAGAAAGCGUAAUAGCUCACUGGUCGAGUCGGCCUGCGCGGAAGAUGUAACGGGGCUAAACCAUGCACCGAAGCUGCGGCAGCGACGUUUAUGCGUUGUUGGGUAGGGGAGCGUUCUGUAAGCCUGCGAAGGUGGCCUGUGAGGGUUGCUGGAGGUAUCAGAAGUGCGAAUGCUGACAUAAGUAACGAUAAAGCGGGUGAAAAGCCCGCUCGCCGGAAGACCAAGGGUUCCUGUCCAACGUUAAUCGGGGCAGGGUGAGUCGACCCCUAAGGCGAGGCCGAAAGGCGUAGUCGAUGGGAAACGGGUUAAUAUUCCCGUACUUGGUGUUACUGCGAAGGGGGGACGGAGAAGGCUAUGUUGGCCGGGCGACGGUUGUCCCGGUUUAAGCGUGUAGGCUGGUUUUCCAGGCAAAUCCGGAAAAUCAAGGCUGAGGCGUGACGACGAGGCACUACGGUGCUGAAGCAACAAAUGCCCUGCUUCCAGGAAAAGCCUCUAAGCAUCAGGUAACAUCAAAUCGUACCCCAAACCGACACAGGUGGUCAGGUAGAGAAUACCAAGGCGCUUGAGAGAACUCGGGUGAAGGAACUAGGCAAAAUGGUGCCGUAACUUCGGGAGAAGGCACGCUGACACGUAGGUGAAGUGAUUUACUCAUGGAGCUGAAGUCAGUCGAAGAUACCAGCUGGCUGCAACUGUUUAUUAAAAACACAGCACUGUGCAAACACGAAAGUGGACGUAUACGGUGUGACGCCUGCCCGGUGCCGGAAGGUUAAUUGAUGGGGUCAGCGCAAGCGAAGCUCCUGAUCGAAGCCCCGGUAAACGGCGGCCGUAACUAUAACGGUCCUAAGGUAGCGAAAUUCCUUGUCGGGUAAGUUCCGACCUGCACGAAUGGCGUAAUGAUGGCCAGGCUGUCUCCACCCGAGACUCAGUGAAAUUGAACUCGCUGUGAAGAUGCAGUGUACCCGCGGCAAGACGGAAAGACCCCGUGAACCUUUACUAUAGCUUGACACUGAACAUUGAGCCUUGAUGUGUAG